RNAcentral lists this ribosomal RNA (484 nucleotides) under uncultured bacterium. RNAcentral describes it as "partial 16S ribosomal RNA". It matches the Rfam family "Bacterial small subunit ribosomal RNA", at positions 30 to 507 of the family's 1533-position model. The record is from RNAcentral.
AUUGAACGCUGGCGGCAGGCCUAACACAUGCAAGUCGAGCGGAUGAAGGGAGCUUGCUCCUGGAUUCAGCGGCGGACGGGUGAGUAAUGCAUAGGAAUCUGCCUGGUAGUGGGGGAUAACGUCCGGAAACGGGCGCUAAUACCGCAUACGUCCUGAGGGAGAAAGUGGGGGAUCUUCGGACCUCACGCUACCAGAUGAGCCUAGGUCGGAUUAGCUAGUUGGUGGGGUAAAGGCCUACCAAGGCGACGAUCCGUAACUGGUCUGAGAGGAUGAUCAGUCACACUGGAACUGAGACACGGUCCAGACUCCUACGGGAGGCAGCAGUGGGGAAUAUUGGACAAUGGGCGAAAGCCUGAUCCAGCCAUGCCGCGUGUGUGAAGAAGGUCUUCGGAUUGUAAAGCACUUUAAGUUGGGAGGAAGGGCAGUAAGUUAAUACCUUGCUGUUUUGACGUUACCAACAGAAUAAGCACCGGCUAACUUCGUG